This 1456-nucleotide ribosomal RNA is filed under the name uncultured Bordetella sp. RNAcentral describes it as "partial 16S-23S ribosomal RNA intergenic spacer". It matches the Rfam family "Bacterial small subunit ribosomal RNA". Lineage: Bacteria; Pseudomonadati; Pseudomonadota; Betaproteobacteria; Burkholderiales; Alcaligenaceae. The record is from RNAcentral.
GGUUCGAUCAUGGCUCAGAUUGAACGCUGUGAGAUACUUUACACAUGCAGUCGAACGGCCUUUGGACUCGAUCUGGUGGCGAGUGGCGAACGGGUGAGUAAUGUAUCGGAACGUGCCUAGUAGCGGGGGAUAACUACGCGAAAGCGUAGCUAAUACCGCAUACGCCCUUCAGAAAGCGGGGGACCUUCGGGCCUCGCACUAUUAAACGGCCGAUAUCGGAUUAGCUAGUUGGUGGGAGUAACGGCUCACCAAGGCGACGAUCCGUAGCUGGUUUGAAGGACGACCAGCUACACUGGGACUGAGACACGGCCCAGACUCCUGCGAGGCAACAGUGGGAAUUUUGGACAAUGGGGGAAACCCUGAUCCAGCCAUCCCGCGUGUGCGAUGAAGGCCUUCGGGUUGGCAAGCACUUUUGGCAGAAAAGAAACGGCACGGGAUAAUACCCCGUGCAACUGACAGUACCUGCAGAAUAAGCACCGGCUAACUACGUGCCAGCAGCCGCGGUAAUACGUAGGUGCAGAAAGCGUUAAUCGGAAUUACUGGGCGUAAAGCGUGCGCGAGCGGUUCGGAAAGAAAGAUGUGAAAUCCCAAACUUAACUUUGGAACUGCAUUUUUAACUACCGAGCUAGAGUGUGUCAGAGGAGGUGGAAUUUUGCGUGUAGCAGUGAAAUGCGUAGAUAUGCGGAAGAACACCGAUGGCGAGGCAACCUCUGGAUAACACUGACGCUCAUGCGAAGAAGCGUGGGGAGCAAACAGGAUUAGAUACCCUGGUAGUCCACCUACGCGAUGUCAACUAGCUGUUGGGGCCUUCGGGCCUUGGUAGCGCAGCUAACGCGUGAAGUUGACCGCCUGGGGAGUACAGUCGCAAGAUUAAAACUCAAAAUUGACAGGGACCCGCACAAGCAGUGGAUGAUGUGGAUUAAUUCGAUGCAACGCGAAAAACCUUACCUACCCUUGACAUGUCUGGAAUCCCGAAGAGAUUUGGGAGUGCUCGCAAGAGAACCGGAACACAGGUGCUGCAUGGCUGUCGUCGGCUCGUGUCGUGAGAUGUUGGGUUAAGUCCGCAACGAGCGCAACCCUUGUCAUUAGUUGCUACGAAGAAUAAUGAGACUGCCGGUGACAAACCGGAGGAAGGUGGGGAUGACGUCAAGUCCUCAUGGCCCUUAUGGGUAGGGCUUCACACGUCAUACAAUGGUCGGGACAGAGGGUCGCCAACCCGCGAGGAGCCAAUCCCAGAAACCCAGGCAGUAGUCGGAUCGCAGUCUGCAACUCGACUGCGUGAAGUCGGAAUCGCUAGUAAUCGCGGAUCAGCAUGUCGCGGUGAAUACGUUUGGUCUUGUACACACCGCCCGUCACACCAUGGGAGUGGGAUUUUACCCGAAGUAGUUAGCCUAACCGUAAGGAGGGCGAUUCACCACGGUAAGUUCAUGACUGGGGUGAAGUCGUAACAAGGUAG